This 1690-nucleotide ribosomal RNA is filed under the name Campylobacter coli. Its description in RNAcentral is "partial 23S ribosomal RNA". It matches the Rfam family "Bacterial large subunit ribosomal RNA", at positions 1244 to 2925 of the family's 2925-position model. Lineage: Bacteria; Pseudomonadati; Campylobacterota; Epsilonproteobacteria; Campylobacterales; Campylobacteraceae. The record is from RNAcentral. RNAcentral also lists the same sequence under 1 other name.
UUUGCGUCGAAGGUAUACCGGUAAGGAGUGCUGGAGCGAAUAGAAGUGAGCAUGCAGGCAUGAGUAGCGAUAAUUAAUGUGAGAAUCAUUAACGCCGUAAACCCAAGGUUUCCUACGCGAUGCUCGUCAUCGUAGGGUUAGUCGGGUCCUAAGUCGAGUCCGAAAGGGGUAGACGAUGGCAAAUUGGUUAAUAUUCCAAUACCAACAUUAGUGUGCGAUGGAAGGACGCUUAGGGCUAAGGGGGCUAGCGGAUGGAAGUGCUAGUCUAAGGUCGUAGGAGGUUAUACAGGCAAAUCCGUAUAACAAUACUCCGAGAACUGAAAGGCUUUUUGAAGUCUUCGGAUGGAUAGAAGAACCCCUGAUGCCGUCGAGCCAAGAAAAGUUUCUAAGUUUAGCUAAUGUUGCCCGUACCGUAAACCGACACAGGUGGGUGGGAUGAGUAUUCUAAGGCGCGUGGAAGAACUCUCUUUAAGGAACUCUGCAAAAUAGCACCGUAUCUUCGGUAUAAGGUGUGGUUCGCUUCGUAUUAGGAUUUACUCCGAAAGCGAAGAAACUUACAACAAAGAGUCCCUCCCGACUGUUUACCAAAAACACAGCACUCUGCUAACUCGUAAGAGGAUGUAUAGGGUGUGACGCCUGCCCGGUGCUCGAAGGUUAAUUGAUGGGGUUAGCAUUAGCGAAGCUCUUGAUCGAAGCCCGAGUAAACGGCGGCCGUAACUAUAACGGUCCUAAGGUAGCGAAAUUCCUUGUCGGUUAAAUACCGACCUGCAUGAAUGGCGUAACGAGAUGGGAGCUGUCUCAAAGAGGGAUCCAGUGAAAUUGUAGUGGAGGUGAAAAUUCCUCCUACCCGCGGCAAGACGGAGAGACCCCGUGGACCUUUACUACAGCUUGACACUGCUAUUUGGAUAAGAAUGUGCAGGAUAGGUGGGAGGCUUUGAGUAUAUGACGCCAGUUGUAUAUGAGCCAUUGUUGAGAUACCACUCUUUCUUAUUUGGGUAGCUAACCAGCUUGAGUUAUCCUCAAGUGGGACAAUGUCUGGUGGGUAGUUUGACUGGGGCGGUCGCCUCCCAAAUAAUAACGGAGGCUUACAAAGGUUGGCUCAGAACGGUUGGAAAUCGUUCGUAGAGUAUAAAGGUAUAAGCCAGCUUAACUGCAAGACAUACAAGUCAAGCAGAGACGAAAGUCGGUCUUAGUGAUCCGGUGGUUCUGUGUGGAAGGGCCAUCGCUCAAAGGAUAAAAGGUACCCCGGGGAUAACAGGCUGAUCUCCCCCAAGAGCUCACAUCGACGGGGAGGUUUGGCACCUCGAUGUCGGCUCAUCGCAUCCUGGGGCUGGAGCAGGUCCCAAGGGUAUGGCUGUUCGCCAUUUAAAGCGGUACGCGAGCUGGGUUCAGAACGUCGUGAGACAGUUCGGUCCCUAUCUGCCGUGGGCGUAAGAAGAUUGAAGAGAUUUGACCCUAGUACGAGAGGACCGGGUUGAACAAACCACUGGUGUAGCUGUUGUUCUGCCAAGAGCAUCGCAGCGUAGCUAAGUUUGGAAAGGAUAAACGCUGAAAGCAUCUAAGCGUGAAGCCAACUCUAAGAUGAAUCUUCUCUAAGCUCUCUAGAAGACUACUAGUUUGAUAGGCUGGGUGUGUAAUGGAUGAAAGUCCUUUAGCUGACCAGUACUAAUAGAGCGUUUGGCUUAUCUUU